This 72-nucleotide transfer RNA is filed under the name Sus scrofa (pig). It matches the Rfam family "tRNA". From Rfam's summary of the family: Transfer RNA (tRNA) molecules are approximately 80 nucleotides in length. Their secondary structure includes four short double-helical elements and three loops (D, anti-codon, and T loops). The record is from Rfam by way of RNAcentral. Lineage: Eukaryota; Metazoa; Chordata; Mammalia; Artiodactyla; Suidae.
UCCUGGUGACCUAGUGGUGAAGGACCCAGCAUUGUCACUGCUGUGGCUCAGGUUCAAUCCCUGGCCCAGGAA